Molecule: ribosomal RNA, 254 nt
Filed under: uncultured bacterium
Lineage: Bacteria
Description: partial 16S ribosomal RNA
Rfam family: Bacterial small subunit ribosomal RNA
Source: RNAcentral
CGAAGGGUGCAAGCGUUACUCGGAAUUACUGGGCGUAAAGCGUGCGUAGGUGGUUGCUUAAGUCUGCUGUGAAAGCCCUGGGCUCAACCUGGGAAUUGCAGUGGAUACUGGGCGACUAGAGUGUGGUAGAGGACAGUGGAAUUUCCGGUGUAGCAGUGAAAUGCGUAGAGAUCGGAAGGAACAUCUGUGGCGAAGGCGACUGUCUGGGCCAACACUGACACUGAGGCACGAAAGCGUGGGGAGCAAACAGGAUU